This 495-nucleotide transfer RNA is filed under the name Pseudanabaena sp. CCY0474. RNAcentral's name for it is "partial miscellaneous RNA". The stretch from base 255 to 327 matches the Rfam family "tRNA". RNAcentral also lists the same sequence under 2 other names. Lineage: Bacteria; Bacillati; Cyanobacteriota; Cyanophyceae; Pseudanabaenales; Pseudanabaenaceae. The record is from RNAcentral.
UAGGGAGACCUAUUUAUGUCUAGACUGAACCAAUACAGAAUUAGGUCAGACAUAAGUCAUCCCAAGGUCGUUCGAGAUUUAUUGGAAAGCUUUCAAACUAAGUCAGGUUCUAAAUUUGGCUAACAUAAAGGGCCAUUAGCUCAGUUGGUUAGAGCGCACCCCUGAUAAGGGUGAGGUCACUGGUUCGUGUCCAGUAUGGCCCACUUGAGAAUCUAACAACUAGAAGCCAAAAGCUGAAAGUGAUAGAUAACUCUGGGGAUAUAGCUCAGUUGGUAGAGCGCCUGCUUUGCACGCAGGAAGUCAGGAGUUCGAAUCUCCUUAUCUCCACCAAACUACUAAAACCAACAAAAGCAAAAGCAAGAGUUUAGCAACUCAUCUAGUCAGGUAAAACCUAAACAACUAGAGAGACUGCUAAAUUCUAGCGAAAGCGAGAAUUUAGAAAGAACCUUGAAAACUGCAUAGUAAUAGUAAUAAGAAGCAAGUAGAUCCAAAGUG